AGAGUUUGAUCCUGGCUCAGGACGAACGCUGGCGGUGUGCUUCACACAUGCAAGUCGAACGGAGUAGCAAUACUCAGUGGCGGACGGGUGAGUAACACGUGGGAAUCUACCAUUAGGUGGGGAAUAACAGGCCGAAAGGACUGCUAAUGCCGCAUAUGUAGGCAUCUCGACAGAGAUGUUUAUGAAAGGAGUAAUCCGCCUUUUGAUGAGCCCGCGUCCGAUUAGCUAGUUGGUAGGGUAAAAGCCUACCAAGGCGACGAUCGGUAGGUGGUCUGAGAGGAUGAUCACCCACAAUGGGACUGUGACACGGCCCAUACUCCUACGGGAGGCAGCAGUGGGGAAUUUUACGCAAUGGGGGAAACCCUGACGUAGCGACACCGCGUGAGCGAAGAAGCCCUUUGGGGUGUAAAGCUCUGUCAACAGGAACGAAACAAAUGACGGUACCUGUGGAGGAAGCAUCGGCUAACUACGUGCCAGCAGCCGCGGUAAGACGUAGGAUGCAAGCGUUGUCCGGAUUUAUUGGGCGUAAAGAGUUCGUAGGCGGUUUGUUAAGUCUGAUGUUAAAGACCGGGGCUCAACCUCGGAAAUGCAUUGGAUACUGGCAGACUGGAGUGCAGUAGAGGCUAGUGGAAUUCCCAGUGUAGCGGUGAAAUGCGUA
Molecule: ribosomal RNA, 658 nt
Filed under: uncultured bacterium
Lineage: Bacteria
Description: bacterial SSU rRNA
Rfam family: Bacterial small subunit ribosomal RNA
Source: RNAcentral